GCAAACUUGGUCAUUUAGAGGAAGUAAAAGUCGUAACAAGGUCUCCGUAGGUGAACCUGCGGAGGGAUCAUUUCUGAAUCCAGGCCACUGUGCUCUCCAGUUUGAAGUCUCCAAAGACUGCUCACUGUUGGGCCAUGGGCUUGCCUUUCUUCAAACCUGUGGGCAGAGAUGUGGAUUGGCGACCACCCGGAAGGGCGGCGCCUCUUCAAUGCAGCCAAGCCUUUUGUGUCUGAUUUGAUGAAAUUCAUUUAAAACUUUCAACAACGGAUCUCUUGGCUCUUGCAUCGAUGAAGAACGCAGC
RNAcentral lists this unclassified non-coding RNA (301 nucleotides) under uncultured fungus. Its description in RNAcentral is "partial contains small subunit ribosomal RNA, internal transcribed spacer 1, and 5.8S ribosomal RNA". The stretch from base 1 to 73 matches the Rfam family "Eukaryotic small subunit ribosomal RNA", at positions 1759 to 1831 of the family's 1831-position model. The record is from RNAcentral. Lineage: Eukaryota; Fungi.